This 384-nucleotide ribosomal RNA is filed under the name Bacillus thuringiensis serovar kurstaki str. HD-1. Its description in RNAcentral is "SSU rRNA". It matches the Rfam family "Bacterial small subunit ribosomal RNA", at positions 11 to 383 of the family's 1533-position model. Lineage: Bacteria; Bacillati; Bacillota; Bacilli; Caryophanales; Bacillaceae. The record is from RNAcentral.
GUUUGAUCCUGGCUCAGGAUGAACGCUGGCGGCGUGCCUAAUACAUGCAAGUCGAGCGAAUGGAUUAAGAGCUUGCUCUUAUGAAGUUAGCGGCGGACGGGUGAGUAACACGUGGGCAACCUGCCCAUAAGACUGGGAUAACUCCGGGAAACCGGGGCUAAUACCGGAUAACAUUUUGAACCGCAUGGUUCGAAAUUGAAAGGCGGCUUCGGCUGUCACUUAUGGAUGGACCCGCGUCGCAUUAGCUAGUUGGUGAGGUAACGGCUCACCAAGGCAACGAUGCGUAGCCGACCUGAGAGGGUGAUCGGCCACACUGGGACUGAGACACGGCCCAGACUCCUACGGGAGGCAGCAGUAGGGAAUCUUCCGCAAUGGACGAAAGUC